Molecule: ribosomal RNA, 420 nt
Filed under: uncultured bacterium
Lineage: Bacteria
Description: partial 16S ribosomal RNA
Rfam family: Bacterial small subunit ribosomal RNA
Source: RNAcentral
UCUUCCACAAUGGGCGAAAGCCUGAUGGAGCAACGCUGCGUGAGUGAAGACGGAUUUCGGAUCGUAAAACUCUGUUGUAUGGGAUGAACAAGUACAGGAGUAACUGGAUUUACCUUGACGGUACCUUAUUAUAAAGCCACGUCUAACUACGUGCAAGGAGCCGCGGUAAUACGUAGGUGGCAAGCGUUGUCCGGUAUUAUUGGGCGUAAAGCGCGCGCAGGCGGUCCUUUAAGUCUGAUGAGAAAGCCCACGGCUCAACCGUGGAGGGUCAUUGGAAACUGGGGGACUUGAGUGCAGAAGAGGAAAGUGGAAUUCCAAGUGUAGCGGUGAAAUGCGUAGAGAUUUGGGGAAACACCAGUGGCGAAGGCGACUUUCUGGUCUGUAACUGACGCUGAGGCGCGAAAGCGUGGGGAGCAAACA